GCCGAAGUGGCGGAAUUGGCAGACGCGCUACGUUCAGGGCGUAGUUGGGGAAUCCCAGUGGGGGUUCGACUCCCCCCUUCGGCACCA
RNAcentral lists this transfer RNA (87 nucleotides) under Meiothermus sp. RNAcentral describes it as "tRNA-Leu". It matches the Rfam family "tRNA". From Rfam's summary of the family: Transfer RNA (tRNA) molecules are approximately 80 nucleotides in length. Their secondary structure includes four short double-helical elements and three loops (D, anti-codon, and T loops). Further hydrogen bonds mediate the characteristic L-shaped molecular structure. tRNAs have two regions of fundamental functional importance: the anti-codon, which is responsible for specific mRNA codon recognition, and the 3' end, to which the tRNAs corresponding amino acid is attached (by aminoacyl-tRNA synthetases). tRNAs cope with the degeneracy of the genetic code in two manners: having more than one tRNA (with a specific anti-codon) for a particular amino acid; and 'wobble' base-pairing, i.e. permitting non-standard base-pairing at the 3rd anti-codon position. The record is from RNAcentral. RNAcentral also lists the same sequence under 2 other names. Lineage: Bacteria; Thermotogati; Deinococcota; Deinococci; Thermales; Thermaceae.